CGGAGGGUGCAGGCGUUAUCCGGAUUCACUGGGUUUAAAGGGUGCGUAGGAGGGCAGGUAAGUCAGUGGUGAAAUCUCCGAGCUUAACUUGGAAACUGCCGUUGAUACUAUCUGUCUUGAAUAUUGUGGAGGUGAGCGGAAUAUGUCAUGUAGCGGUGAAAUGCUUAGAUAUGACAUAGAACACCAAUUGCGAAGGCAGCUCGCUACACAUAUAUUGACUCUGAGGCACGAAAGCGUGGGGAUCAAACAGGAUUAGAUACCCUGGUAGUCCACGCCCUAAACGAUGGAUACUCGACAUACGCGAUACACAGUGUGUGUCUGAGCGAAAGCAUUAAGUAUCUCACCUGGGAAGUACGACCGCAAGGUUG
RNAcentral lists this ribosomal RNA (368 nucleotides) under uncultured organism. RNAcentral describes it as "bacterial SSU rRNA". It matches the Rfam family "Bacterial small subunit ribosomal RNA", at positions 526 to 896 of the family's 1533-position model. The record is from RNAcentral.